AUUGAGCGCUGGCGGCAGGCUUAACACAUGCAAGUCGAGCGGGGUGAUGGUGCUUGCACUAUCACUUAGCGGCGGACGGGUGAGUAAUGCUUAGGAAUCUGCCUAUUAGGGGGGGACAACAUCUCGAAAGGGAUGCUAAUACCGCAUACGUCCUACGGGAGAAAGCAGGGGAUCACUUGUGACCUUGCGCUAAUAGAUGAGCCUAAGUCGGAUUAGCUAGUUGGUGGGGUAAAGGCCUACCAAGGCGACGAUCUGUAGCGGGUCUGAGAGGAUGCUCCGCCACACUGGGACGGGGACACGGCCCAGACUCCUACGGGAGGCAGCAGUGGGGAAUAUUGGACAAUGGGGGGAACCCUGAUCCAGCCAUGCCGCGUGUGUGAAGAAGGCCUUAUGGUUGUAAAGCACUUUAAGCGAGGAGGAGGCUCUUUUGGUUAAUACCCAGAAUGAGUGGACGUUACUCGCAGAAUAAGCACCGGCUAACUCUGUGCCAGCCGCCGCGGUAA
This 503-nucleotide ribosomal RNA is filed under the name uncultured bacterium. RNAcentral describes it as "partial 16S ribosomal RNA". It matches the Rfam family "Bacterial small subunit ribosomal RNA", at positions 30 to 523 of the family's 1533-position model. The record is from RNAcentral.